This 254-nucleotide ribosomal RNA is filed under the name uncultured bacterium. Its description in RNAcentral is "partial 16S ribosomal RNA". It matches the Rfam family "Bacterial small subunit ribosomal RNA", at positions 524 to 776 of the family's 1533-position model. The record is from RNAcentral.
CACGUAGGGUGCGAGCGUUGUCCGGAAUUAUUGGGCGUAAAGAGCUCGUAGGCGGUGUGUCGCGUCGGCCGUGAAAACCUGGGGCUUAACUCUGGGCUUGCGGUCGAUACGGGCAUCACUGGAGUUCGGCAGGGGAGACUGGAAUUCCUGGUGUAGCGGUGAAAUGCGCAGAUAUCAGGAGGAACACCUAUGGCGAAGGCAGCUCUCUGGGACGGUACUGACGCUGAGACGCGAAAGCGUGGGGAGCGAACAGG